RNA transcript from Theobroma umbraticum, 3282 nucleotides. It is a transcript of the gene named Tetratricopeptide repeat (TPR)-like superfamily protein, with no coding region annotated. The record is from RefSeq and is a predicted model, not a curated record. Lineage: Eukaryota; Viridiplantae; Streptophyta; Magnoliopsida; Malvales; Malvaceae.
GUGAGAGAUGGUGGGAAAAUGGGUUGGUACACCAUCAAACUGGAAAACCCUACAAACCUUCCAACACAACUUUUAGAGUAUAGGCCAACGGUACUCAUAUGUCUCCACAAGCUUUAAGGUCCUCUCCCUGGGAAACUUGAAACUCAUUCCUAUGUAAAGGAUAGAAUGGCAGUUAGUUCUUACCCAUGGCACUACUUUCGAAACUGAUAUAGUCAUAAGCCCACCAAGCCCCUAGCCUAUGGACAACACUUGAAAUGAAAAGUCUUCGGCUUCUCUUUGAACGAAACUCUUCUCCCGCCAAAACCAAUUCUUCCUCCUCCUCAUUCAAGAAGCCAAAGGCAAAACCUCCCAUCUCUCAUGGCUCAUCAUCAUCUUCAUCUCAAGAUCCCCUCAAAACCCAUUUCGCCUCUCUCAUCCAAUCCUCCAAAACCACCCUCCAACUCCGCCAAAUCCACGCCCAAAUCUUCCGCCGCAACCUCUCUUCCAGCACCAACCUUACUAUCCUCCUAAUAUCCGCCUCUUCUUCCCUCAAAUCCAUCCCUUAUGCCAUCUCCCUUUUCAACCAUUUCCACCACAAAAGCAUAUUCCUUUUCAACGCCUUGAUCCGUGGCUUAACGGACAAUUCCCUUCACCAAUCCUCAAUUUCCCAUUUUCUUCUCAUGUUGAGCCUUAGAGUCCGCCCUGAUAAACUUACAUACCCUUUCGUGCUCAAAUCCAUCGCCGGUUUGGGUCUUCGCUGCCUUGGUUUGAUCCUUCAUGGAAGAAUAAUCAAAUCUGGGGUUGAGUUUGAUUCAUUCGUUCGCGUUGCACUAGUUGAAAUGUAUGUGAAACUCAAGGAAUUGGGUUUCGCGUUGCAGGUGUUUGAUGAAAGUCCUGAUAGAAACAAGAGUGGGAGUAUAUUGUUGUGGAAUGUGUUAAUUAAUGGUUACUGUAAAGAGGGGAAUUUGGGGAAAGCGAUGGAGCUUUUUGAGGCUAUGCCUGAAAGGAAUAUUGGGUCUUGGAAUAGUUUGAUAAAUGGGUUUAUGAGAAAUGGGGAUUUGGAUAAAGCAGUGGAGCUUUUUGAUGAAAUGAAGGAGAAGGAUGUGGUUUCUUGGACUACAAUGGUUAAUGGGUUUUUGCAGAAUGGAGAUCAUGAGAAGGCUUUAUCCAUGUUUUUUAAGAUGUUGGAGGCUGCCUUGAGGCCCAAUGAUCUUACUCUUGUUCCUGCUCUUUCUGCUUGUGCUAAAAUUGGUGCACUUGAAGCUGGAGCGCGUAUCCAUGCUUAUGUUUUGGAAAAUGGUUUUCGGUUGAAUAAAGCAAUUGGGGCUGCUUUGGUUGAUAUGUAUGCAAAGUGUGGGGACAUCCAGUCCGCAAGUAAGGUUUUUAAUGAGACAAAAGAGAGGGACAUUCUUACCUGGAGUGUCAUGAUAUGGGGUUGGGGAAUCCAUGGAUAUUAUGAUCAAGCUAUCCAAUGCUUCAAAACGAUGAUGUUUUCAGGAAUAAAACCUGAUGGUGUGGUCUUUCUUGCCCUCCUGACUGUAUGCUCACAUUCUGGGCUAGUAAAUCUUGGGCUUAACUUCUUUGACAGUAUGAGGCUUGACUAUUCUAUUGCGCCAACCAUGAAACAUUAUACAUUGGUUGUUGACUUGUUAGGCAGGGCAGGCCGGCUGGAUGAAUCGCUAAAGUUCAUCCAAAGGAUGCCAAUGAGUCCUGAUUUUGUGACAUGGGGAGCACUUUUUUGUGCUUGUAGGGCUCACAAAAAUAUUAAAAUGGCAGAACUAGUUGCACAGAAGCUCCUUGAGCUUGAACCUAAGCAUCCUGGGAGCUAUGUUUUCUUGUCAAAUGUUUAUGCUGCAGUUGGGAGGUGGGAAGAUGUGGAGAGAGUCAGAAUGUUAAUGCAGAACCGAGCCGUCGAUAAAGAUCCAGGGUGGAGUUAUAUUGAAGUUGGCGGAGAAGUGCAUAGUUUUGUAGCUGGUGAUCAUGCUCAUAAGCAUGCAAGAGAGAUAUACCUGAAAUUAGAGGAAAUAGUGGCUGGUACAAGACAACAUGGAUACAUGCCUGAAACUGGGUGGGUACUUCAUAACAUUGAGGAAGAAGAGAAGGAAGAUGCAUUGGGAAGUCACAGUGAGAAACUGGCGCUUGCUUUUGCUUUAAUCCGCACUUCUCCGGGAACAACCAUCAGGAUAGUAAAGAACUUAAGAGUAUGUGGGGAUUGCCAUUCUCUGAUGAAAUAUGCUAGUAAGAUGAGCCAAAGAGAGAUAGUAUUGAGAGAUAUAAAGCGAUUCCAUCAUUUCAAGGAUGGGGCCUGCUCAUGUGGAGAUUAUUGGUGAAAUGGUACUUCAGAAUGACUCAAAUUGUAUGUGAGCAAGAUUCAAGAAUUAAGGCUUGAAUUCGGAAGGACAGGUUAUCUCAUGUUAUAAAAGGUCCUCCAAAAGGUUUAAACAUUGACAAGGUUCAACCAUGAGUGGCCCACCAAAACAUGCUUGGCCAAACACACACCAAUUAUAUGUCUGAUUCCACAACUGUGAAUGUAAACUGGGGUAUAUCGUAAAUCUAACUCUACUCAGAUAAAAAAGUCAUCUAUCUAGAUUGGUCCCUAAUCUUUUAAGUGAAGGAUAGGGGGAGAUUUUGGGUUAAAUGCUCUUCUUAAUCUGUUCUUGAGAAUAGAUGACACCAAUUCUGAAGAUAACACAGUCCUUCUAAUAGGUGACCCCAUCCUCUAAUAUGCCUUGUGGAAGGAAGUACUGUUGCAACUUAACCAUCAGUAACUUCCCCUACCAAUGAGCCUUGGAUCAUGUCACAUCUUUGCUAUGGUGAAAUUCAGGCAAACCUGUUUGGUAGGUUAAGUAAGACAAUCCUCUUAAGUUUCCAAGGGGUUAAAGCACACAGAAAUCGGAAACAACAUUUUAAGGGUUAGAAAUGAAAUAAGGAAGCUUGUGAAAGACUGCUUACCAAAAGUGAAACAACGGUUUGAUGAUCCCAAUCCUGUCAGUUUACCAGAGCAUUACAGCAUGAAAAAUGGACUUUUUUCAACUAUAUUCCAGACCAACAAGAUUGUAGGAAUCUCACUGAAGCUGAUGGGAAUCAUUCAUAUGGAACUAGAGCAGAACCAAAGUCCAAACCAAUGAAUACAAUCUUGUGCAUCAUCAAAGGCCCCAAAAACCCAAACAAAAGAACAUAGAUUUUCACAUUGAAACUUUGGAUGCAUAUCCAUUCAAGAAUGCCCCACCUUCUCCCUUAAACAAUGUAAUAAUAUAGAAUCUGAUGACUAAAAAGGUUGCAUUAUCAAAAACCACAAUCCGA